Molecule: small RNA, 938 nt
Filed under: Pongo abelii (Sumatran orangutan)
Lineage: Eukaryota; Metazoa; Chordata; Mammalia; Primates; Hominidae
Description: retained intron
Source: RNAcentral
AGUGCCCUCCCUGUGCCGUGGCCCCAGCCUCUUGCUCAGCCACACUGCCUGCCUGGUGCAGCCCAUGUGACGGGUCCGGCUCCGGGCCCUGCUGUCCCUGGCCCGGCUAUCCCGGUGGCUUUAGGCACCUUCUCCACACCUACCCAGAAAGAUGCCCGGAUGGAGCCUGCAGCUCCGUGGCUUUUCUGGGAAGCAGCGGCCCCUGCUCUCGAGAGACCCUGGCUCCUGAUGGUGGCCCCAAGGUUGGCAGCUGGUGCUAGGGACUCAGGACAGUUCCCCAGAACAGGCCAAGCGGGCAGCCCCUCCAGGGGCCAGGUGAGGAAGCUGGGGGGUGCGGAGGCCGCACUGGGUGCCUGAACCCCCUGCUUGGUUACAGUGCAGCUCCUCAAGUCCACGGACCUGGGCCGGCACAGCCUCCUGUACCUGAAGGAAAUCGGCCAUGGCUGGUUUGGGAAGGUGUUCCUGGGGGAGGUGAACUCUGGCGUCAGCAGUGCCCAGGUGGUGGUGAAGGAGCUGCAGGCCAGUGCCAGCGUGCAGGAGCAGAUGCAGUUCCUGGAGGAGGCGCAGCCCUACAGAGCCCUGAAGCACAGCAACCUGCUCCAGUGCCUGGCCCAGUGCGCCGAGGUGACGCCCUACCUGCUGGUGAUGGAGUUCUGCCCGCUGGCCAAGGGACUCCUUCUGCCCGGGGCUGGCUGAGGGGCAGUGGAAAGGAAGCUUUCAGUCCAGCCCAGCCCUGGGGGACACGGCCCCUCUCCAGGAACUGCUGGGUGCUGGCCACUGUGCAGGGCGUGGGGCUGCUCUGGGCAACUGCUGUCCCUCAGCUGGGGACCUCAAGGGCUACCUGCGGAGCUGCCGGGUGGCGGAGUCCAUGGCGCCCGACCCCCUGACCCUGCAGCGCAUGGCUUGUGAGGUGGCCUGUGGCAUCCUGCAUCUACAUC